Molecule: ribosomal RNA, 427 nt
Filed under: uncultured bacterium
Lineage: Bacteria
Also listed under: 1 other name
Description: bacterial SSU rRNA
Rfam family: Bacterial small subunit ribosomal RNA
Source: RNAcentral
UGGGGAAUCUUCCGCAAUGGACGAAAGUCUGACGGAGCAACGCCGCGUGAGUGAUGAAGGAUUUCGGUCUGUAAAGCUCUGUUGUUUAUGACGAACGUGCAGUGUGUGAACAAUGCAUUGCAAUGACGGUAGUAAACGAGGAAGCCACGGCUAACUACGUGCCAGCAGCCGCGGUAAUACGUAGGUGGCGAGCGUUGUCCGGAAUUAUUGGGCGUAAAGAGCAUGUAGGCGGCUUAAUAAGUCGAGCGUGAAAAUGCGGGGCUCAACCCCGUAUGGCGCUGGAAACUGUUAGGCUUGAGUGCAGGAGAGGAAAGGGGAAUUCCCAGUGUAGCGGUGAAAUGCGUAGAUAUUGGGAGGAACACCAGUGGCGAAGGCGCCUUUCUGGACUGUGUCUGACGCUGAGAUGCGAAAGCCAGGGUAGCGAACG